CCUACGGGGGGCUGCAGUGAGGAAUAUUGGUCAAUGGACGAGAGUCUGAACCAGCCAAGUAGCGUGAAGGAUGACUGCCCUAUGGGUUGUAAACUUCUUUUAUAUGGGAAUAAAACGUUCCACGUGUGGGAUUUUGUAUGUACCAUAUGUAUAAGGAUCGGCUAACUCAGUGCCAGCAGCCGCGGUAAUACGGAGGAUCCGAGCGGUAUUCGGAUUUAUUGGGUUUAAAGGGAGCGUAGGUGGAUUGUUAAGUCAGUUGUGAAAGUUUGCGGCUCAACCGUAAAAUUGCAGUUGAGACUGGCAGUCUUGAGUACAGUAGAGGUGGGCGGAAUUCGUGGUGUAGCGGUGAAAUGCUUAGAUAUCACGAAGAACUCCGAUGGCGAAGGCAGUUCACUGGACUGCAACUGACACUGAGGCUCGAAAGUGUGGGUAUCAAACAGGAUUAGAUACCCGGGUAGUC
RNAcentral lists this ribosomal RNA (460 nucleotides) under uncultured bacterium. RNAcentral's name for it is "partial 16S ribosomal RNA". It matches the Rfam family "Bacterial small subunit ribosomal RNA", at positions 338 to 795 of the family's 1533-position model. The record is from RNAcentral.